Molecule: ribosomal RNA, 469 nt
Filed under: uncultured bacterium
Lineage: Bacteria
Description: partial 16S ribosomal RNA
Rfam family: Bacterial small subunit ribosomal RNA
Source: RNAcentral
GACGAACGCUGGCGGCGUGCUUAACACAUGCAAGUCGAACGGAAAGGCCCUGCUUGCAGGGUGCUCGAGUGGCAAACGGGUGAGUAACACGUGGGUGAUCUGCCCCUUACUUUGGGAUAAGCCUGGGAAACUGGGUCUAAUACUGGAUAGGACCAUGCUGUAGGUGGUGUGGUGGAAAGAUUAGUUUCGGUAAGGGAUGAGCUCGCGGCCUAUCAGCUUGUUGGUGGGGUAAUGGCCUACCAAGGCGUCGACGGGUAGCCGGCCUGAGAGGGUGGACGGCCACAUUGGGACUGAGAUACGGCCCAGACUCCUACGGGAGGCAGCAGUGGGGAAUAUUGCACAAUGGGCGCAAGCCUGAUGCAGCGACGCCGCGUGGGGGAUGACGGCCUUCGGGUUGUAAACUCCUUUCAGCCAUGACGAAGCCCUUGUGGUGACGGUAGUGGUAGAAGAAGCACCGGCUAACUACGUG